This 462-nucleotide ribosomal RNA is filed under the name uncultured bacterium. RNAcentral describes it as "partial 16S ribosomal RNA". It matches the Rfam family "Bacterial small subunit ribosomal RNA", at positions 28 to 507 of the family's 1533-position model. The record is from RNAcentral.
GACGAACGCUGGCGGCGUGCUUAACACAUGCCAGUCGAGCGGUAAGGCCUUUCGGGGUACACGAGCGGCGAACGGGUGAGUAACACGUGGGUGAUCUGCCCUGCACUUCGGGAUAAGCCUGGGAAACUGGGUCUAAUACCGGAUAUGACCUCCUAUCGCAUGGUGGGUGGUGGAAAGAUUUAUCGGUGCAGGAUGGGCCCGCGGCCUAUCAGCUUGUUGGUGGGGUAAUGGCCUACCAAGGCGACGACGGGUAGCCGACCUGAGAGGGUGACCGGCCACAAUGGGACUGAGACACGGCCCAGACUCCUACGGGAGGCAGCAGUGGGGAAUAUUGCACAAUGGGCGAAAGCCUGAUGCAGCGACGCCGCGUGAGGGAUGACGGCCUUCGGGUUGUAAACCUCUUUCAGCAGGGACGAAGCGCAAGUGACGGUACCUGCAGAAGAAGCACCGGCUAACUACGUG